GUAUAAUGAGGAGAAGAGUUUUAAGAAUUUGUAGUUGUGUAUUUUAAAAGGAAAAUAAGAAUUUAAUUUUUAUAAAAAAAAUUUUUUUAUUGGGGUUUUGCGCUAUUCUCACUCGUCCCCCAAGGCCGAGGAUAAUCUUAUUUUCGGUCUUGUGAGUCAUAAAGCAGCAAAACUUAUUCGGGAUUUACUGGGACUGAAGAUGAAUUCGACAAACAAUCUAGUUCUAGUUCAGCUUCCAUACCAGAUGAAUCAUAUCCAAGGACUAAUGGAAAGGCACC
This 278-nucleotide long non-coding RNA is filed under the name Cotesia glomerata. RNAcentral describes it as "uncharacterized LOC123262296, transcript variant X1". The record is from RNAcentral. Lineage: Eukaryota; Metazoa; Arthropoda; Insecta; Hymenoptera; Braconidae.